Molecule: ribosomal RNA, 493 nt
Filed under: uncultured bacterium
Lineage: Bacteria
Description: partial 16S ribosomal RNA
Rfam family: Bacterial small subunit ribosomal RNA
Source: RNAcentral
AGUGAACGCUGGCGGUAGGCCUAACACAUGCAAGUCGAACGGCAGCACAGUAAGAGCUUGCUCUUACGGGUGGCGAGUGGCGGACGGGUGAGGAAUACAUCGGAAUCUACUUUUUCGUGGGGGAUAACGUAGGGAAACUUACGCUAAUACCUCAUACGACCUACGGGUGAAAGCAGGGGAUCUUCGGACCUUGCGCGAUUGAAUGAGCCGAUGUCGGAUUAGCUAGUUGGCGGGGGAAAGGCCCACCAAGGCAACGAUCCGUAGCUGGCCUGAGAGGAUGCGAGGCCACAAGGGGACUGAUACCCGCCACAACCCCCCACGGGGGGCAGCGGGAGGGGAUCGGCGGCAAGUGGCGGAAGUCUGACCGAACAACGCGGGGGGGGUGAAAAAGGUUGUCGGAUCGUAAAACUCUUUUGGGAGGGAAGAAAGGAGGGGGGACGGGCACGCUCCUCAAGUGACGGUAACUAACCAGAAAGGGACGGCUAACUACGUG